RNAcentral lists this ribosomal RNA (253 nucleotides) under uncultured bacterium. Its description in RNAcentral is "partial 16S ribosomal RNA". It matches the Rfam family "Bacterial small subunit ribosomal RNA", at positions 524 to 776 of the family's 1533-position model. The record is from RNAcentral.
UACAGAGGUCUCAAGCGUUGUUCGGAUUCAUUGGGCGUAAAGGGUGCGUAGGCGGCGCGGUAAGUCGGGUGUGAAAUCUCGGAGCUUAACUCCGAAACUGCAUUCGAUACUGCCGUGCUUGAGGACUGGAGAGGAGACUGGAAUUUACGGUGUAGCGGUGAAAUGCGUAGAUAUCGUAAGGAAGACCAGUGGCGAAGGCGAGUCUCUGGACAGUUGCUGACGCUGAGGCACGAAGGCCAGGGGAGCAAACGGG